GGCACAUACUGGAGCUUUCUAUCGGCGUUCAUCUUACAACAAGGACAAAGUCAACCACGUGACGUGUGAUUUACCUGCGACCGGAGUUCCGGUGUGACGUCAAUACUCUCUUUUCCUGGGAACGGCUCCACAAUGUCGUAAAUGUUUAUCCAAGACUGGGCCCACAUGUUGCCUGCAUCCGGAAUUAGCAAAUAUAUAUACGAUUACCGAUCUCUAUCAGGAAAAAACAUCAACAAGAACUACGAACUAGUAUACUAUAUGAGCCGUGUUCUGAGAAAACUGGGCAUAAUGCAUGUGCGUAAAGUGCUGUCCCAGAUUAGCCUGUGCAAACCGCACAGGCUAAUCAGGGACGACACUUUCCACUUUUAUGACAUUUUUCGUUAAAAUGAAGUCUCUUCUUAGCAAAAAUCCAAUUUUGGCGGAAACAAUCUUCCCUGAUUAGCCUGUGCGGACUGCACAGGCUAAUCUGGGACGACACUUUACGCACAUGAAUUAUUCCAAGUUUUCUCAGAACGCGACUCAUAUAAUGCCAAGGAAAUUUGCCUCUCAGAACAGAAAUACAAACACGUGCGUGACACGUAACGUACCGAGCAGAUGUGCCUGAAUGUGACCGGAGUCUGGAAAGUAUCUGUCGUUGUACACCUUGCGCAGCUUUCGGCGCACGUAGGCGUGCAGGUUCUCAUACAGGGAUCGUAACUCGUCCAGGAGAGCCAGAAGGUCCUUCUCGAAGUUGGGCUCCUCAUACCAGGAGCGCCAGUACUCG
Long non-coding RNA from Dreissena polymorpha, 763 nucleotides. RefSeq lists it as uncharacterized. The record is from RefSeq and is a predicted model, not a curated record. The transcript has 2 exons. Lineage: Eukaryota; Metazoa; Mollusca; Bivalvia; Myida; Dreissenidae.